GAUGAACGCUGGCGGCGUGCUUAACACAUGCAAGUCGAACGAAGCAUUUAGAACAGAUUGCUUCGGUUUGAAGUUCUUUAUGACUGAGUGGCGGACGGGUGAGUAACGCGUGGGUAACCUGCCUUGUACUGGGGGAUAGCAGCUGGAAACGGCUGGUAAUACCGCAUAAGCGCACAAUGUUGCAUGACAUGGUGUGAAAAACUCCGGUGGUAUAAGAUGGACCCGCGUCUGAUUAGCUAGGUGGUGAGAUAACAGCCCACCAAGGCGACGAUCAGUAGCCGACCUGGGAGGGUGACCGGCCACAUGGGGACUGAGACACGGCCCAGACUCCUACGGGAAGCAGCAGGGGGGAAUAUUGCACAAUGGAGGAAACUCUGAUGCAGCGACGCCGCGGGAGUGAAGAAGUAAUUCGUUAUGUAAAGCUCUAUCAGCAGGGAAGAUAGUGACGGUACCUGACUAAGAAGCUCCGGCUAAAUACGUG
This 481-nucleotide ribosomal RNA is filed under the name uncultured bacterium. Its description in RNAcentral is "partial 16S ribosomal RNA". It matches the Rfam family "Bacterial small subunit ribosomal RNA", at positions 28 to 507 of the family's 1533-position model. The record is from RNAcentral.